Molecule: ribosomal RNA, 181 nt
Filed under: uncultured bacterium
Lineage: Bacteria
Description: partial 16S ribosomal RNA
Rfam family: Bacterial small subunit ribosomal RNA
Source: RNAcentral
GCCCUUCCUACGGGAGGCAGCAGUAGGGAAUAUUGGACAAUGGGCGCAAGCCUGAUCCAGCAAUACCGCGUGUGUGAAGAAGGCCUGCGGGUUGUAAAGCACUUUCAGUUGGGAAGAUAAUGACGUUACCAACAGAAGAAGCACCGGCUAACUCCGUGCCAGCAGCCGCGGUAAUAAGGGC